This is a long non-coding RNA of Neopelma chrysocephalum (saffron-crested tyrant-manakin), 317 nucleotides long. RefSeq lists it as uncharacterized. The transcript is spliced from 3 exons. The record is from RefSeq and is a predicted model, not a curated record. Lineage: Eukaryota; Metazoa; Chordata; Aves; Passeriformes; Pipridae.
CGCAGCCCCCCGCAGCCUCCCGCGCCGCGCGGGGCCGGCCCCGCAGCCGGACAAACAAUGUGAGACUUGGCGGAACAAAAGCGGCGGGGCUUGGGUUGCUGAACACGUCUGAGGCCAGACGAGCCGCGCGAUUUAUUGGACUCGGAGAGCCCUGGCUCCGGGUCCAGUGGCUGCUUCCCCCCCGGCCGGCCCCAGCCCCGCUCUGCCCACGGGGGAGAAGCCGCUCGCGUGGGGAGCGCGGCUCAGCCACGUGCCCCCGAACCCCUGGAGAAGAGGAGGUUGGCUUUUUCCUGCUGAUGCUGUAGACUCCAGGGGUU